Lemur catta (Ring-tailed lemur) is the source of this 653-nucleotide long non-coding RNA. RefSeq lists it as uncharacterized. The transcript has 3 exons. NCBI's taxonomy places the organism in Eukaryota, Metazoa, Chordata, Mammalia, Primates, Lemuridae. The record is from RefSeq and is a predicted model, not a curated record.
GCCCCGGCCCCAGCUGGGGCUGCUCCCCGGGGAAGGCCUAGUUUCCUCCUCCUUCCUGUCCCGGCUUUACCUCCGCCGGGCUCCACGGCCGCCGGAGCCCCGGGCAGAGACGGGGCGAGGACACUCACCUGGCCGGUGUCACAUGCUGCUUCGGCCCAGGAGUCCCCUCCAGGUGCCAGGCGCCGGCCGCAGUGCCCAGCGCAGGCCCGGCCGCCCCAGCCGCCGCACCCGCGGCCCGCCCGACGGGAGGGAGGGAUCGGGUCCUCCUAGGAAGUUUCAGUUUUGGUCUGCAUCGGUUAUGGACUUGAUCUCUCUGCAAAGGUUUGGGACAGGCGUUGUUAGAGUUUAAGGUAUCUAGGACUCUUAACCCUUAUCAAAACAGGUCCCUUAAUACCUGCUAUUCACAACCUAUACAUGUGAACAUAUGCAUCUGCAGGGAAAUGAAGAGUCCACUUUUCGGCGAGGUCACUAAAACCUUCAUGCGUCUUUUCAACACACAUGAAGAUCUUGGAAACCACAUAGAAAUGAUGGUAGAUCCAUGAGAUGUAAGGACCCUGGGUCCCUGAGUUCCUGAUUGAUGGCAUGCUGCCUGCUGGUCAGGAACACCUGCUCUGAGUGAGAAAUAAACACUUGUUUCCUGUAAAAUUUUCAAA